RNAcentral lists this ribosomal RNA (273 nucleotides) under uncultured prokaryote. Its description in RNAcentral is "partial 16S ribosomal RNA". It matches the Rfam family "Bacterial small subunit ribosomal RNA", at positions 524 to 798 of the family's 1533-position model. The record is from RNAcentral.
UACGUAGGGGCUAGCGUUAUCCGGAAUUACUGGGCGUAAAGGGUGCGUAGGCGGUCUUUCAAGCCAGAAGUGAAAGGCUACGGCUCAACCGUAGUAAGCUUUUGGAACUGUAAGACUUGAGUGCAGGAGAGGAGAGUGGAAUUCCUAGUGUAGCGGUGAAAUGCGUAGAUAUUAGGAGGAACACCAGUAGCGAAGUCGGCUCUCUGGACUGUAACUGAUGCUGAGGCACGAAAGCGUGGGGAGCAAACAGGAUUAGAUACCCGUGUAGUCCCU